AUUUUCCCUCUCUCUCUGUGCUCUACACCUAAUCCUGUCCUGUAUGUAAUUGGAGGUGUUUUGUAUCCUUGUUAUUUACUGUCUCUGCCCUAGAUAGGGGUUUUAUGUGGCACCUAUACAAUUCUAUUACAAUACUCAGCCUCCUAAUGGUAGUCAGGUAUUAGGUAUGCAUACCUAGAGACAGUCCUGUUAUAGAUAUCUUCU
This is a non-coding RNA of Pelobates cultripes (western spadefoot toad), 204 nucleotides long. Lineage: Eukaryota; Metazoa; Chordata; Amphibia; Anura; Pelobatidae. The record is from the annotation of a GenBank genome assembly.